GCCCCUCUAGCUCAAUGGUAGAGCACCUGACUCUUAAUCAGUAGGUUGCCGGUUCGAGUCCGGCGGGGGGCA
Molecule: transfer RNA, 72 nt
Filed under: Enteractinococcus helveticum
Lineage: Bacteria; Bacillati; Actinomycetota; Actinomycetes; Micrococcales; Micrococcaceae
Description: tRNA-Lys
Rfam family: tRNA
About the family: Transfer RNA (tRNA) molecules are approximately 80 nucleotides in length. Their secondary structure includes four short double-helical elements and three loops (D, anti-codon, and T loops).
Source: RNAcentral